GCCGGCGUAGCUCAGCUGGUUAGAGCGGCGGUCUCAUAAUCCGCAGGCCGUUGGUUCGAGUCCAACCGCCGGCACCA
This 77-nucleotide transfer RNA is filed under the name Bryobacteraceae bacterium. RNAcentral's name for it is "tRNA-Ile". It matches the Rfam family "tRNA". From Rfam's summary of the family: Transfer RNA (tRNA) molecules are approximately 80 nucleotides in length. Their secondary structure includes four short double-helical elements and three loops (D, anti-codon, and T loops). The record is from RNAcentral. Lineage: Bacteria; Pseudomonadati; Acidobacteriota; Terriglobia; Bryobacterales; Bryobacteraceae.